CACGGGGGGAGCAAGUGUUGUUCGGAAUCACUGGGCGUAAAGGGUGUCUAGGCGGUCAGGUAAGUGAGAUGUGAAAUGCCCCGGCUUACCCGGGGACCGGCAUCUCAUACUGUCUGGCUUGAGUAUGGGAGAGGAUGAGGGAAUUCCUGGUGUAGCGGUGAAAUGCGUAGAUAUCAGGAGGAACACCGGUGGCGAAGGCAGUGUUCUGGGCCAGUACUGACGCUGAGGAGCGAAAGCGUGGGGAGCGAACAGG
Molecule: ribosomal RNA, 253 nt
Filed under: uncultured bacterium
Lineage: Bacteria
Description: partial 16S ribosomal RNA
Rfam family: Bacterial small subunit ribosomal RNA
Source: RNAcentral